Molecule: ribosomal RNA, 397 nt
Filed under: uncultured bacterium
Lineage: Bacteria
Description: bacterial SSU rRNA
Rfam family: Bacterial small subunit ribosomal RNA
Source: RNAcentral
GACGAACGCUGGCGGCGUGCUUAACACAUGCAAGUCGAGCGGUAAGGCCCCUUCGGGGGUACACGAGCGGCGAACGGGUGAGUAACACGUGGGUGACCUGCCCUCAGCUCUGGGAUAAGCCUGGGAAACUGGGUCUAAUACCGGAUAUGACUCCAUGACGCAUGUCGUGGGGUGGAAAGCCUUGUGCGGCUGGGGAUGGGCCCGCGGCCUAUCAGCUUGUUGGUGGGGUGAUGGCCUACCAAGGCGACGACGGGUAGCCGGCCUGAGAGGAUGGUCAGCCACACUGGGACUGAGACACGGCCCAGACUCCUACGGGAGGCAGCAGCGGGGAAUAUUGCGCAAUGGGCGAAAGCCUGACGCAGCAACGCCGCGUGAGGGAUGAAGGCUUUCGGGUUGU